RNAcentral lists this unclassified non-coding RNA (250 nucleotides) under plant metagenome. RNAcentral's name for it is "partial contains small subunit ribosomal RNA, internal transcribed spacer 1, and 5.8S ribosomal RNA". The record is from RNAcentral.
GUAGGUGAACCUGCGGAAGGAUCAUUACUAGAGCAAAGGACAGACAGCGCCCUAUAGAGCUUGCUCUAUGGCGGGCUACCCUUUAGCGGUGUAUUCCGCGGGGGUUUAGAGUCGUCGAACCUCUCGGAGAAGUGCGGUCCCAAACUCCACCCUUGAAUAAAUUACCUUUGUUGCUUUGGCAGGCCGCCUCGUGCCAGCGGCUUCGGCUGUUGAGUGCCUGCCAGAGGACCACAACUCUUGUUUUUAGUGA